GAGUGCUAGAGACCUACCCGAUCGCCCGAGUAGAUUGGGUGGAUGCAGAGCUGGCCUGGGGCCCUCCCUGCCCCGCGACUCGGUGGAGAAGCGGUGCACCAAGGCGCAGAAGGAAGUGGAUGAGUCAUUUCUUAGGAUAAGCCCAGUGUGGACAAAUAUGCGGGUGGAACAGGAGGUGUGUGGGCGUUUGUGCUUAAGCUCACAGAUGCUCCCCCUGCAGAUGCCCAGGACCCUGGGUAGAGCCCGGGGACUGCUGGUGAUACCCUCAUGUUGAGAAUGAGGUGAAGAAUUCAGUGUCACCUGGGAACCCAAGUUGUGCCCUGUCCACGGAGGGUGGGGUUGGCAGAGCAUCUGUGCGCCCACUCUUGUCCUUGGCCUGUGAUUUUCACAAGAGGUGGCCAGAGAGCACAGAGUGGAUGCAGCAUUCAUGAGAGUUUCCAAGGAAAAGACCUCAGGAUGAGGAGGAAUGGCCGACGUGUCUGUUGGAGCAAGGAUACGGUUGGUCCUGUAGGUGCAGCAGGCAGCAGGCCUGCCUAAGGAGGUGUGUGAACGGAACAGCAAACACAAGCACCGUGCAGAAAAUACACUUGCGGGACAUGGCCAUCCGGAAGCGCUGAGGGAUGGGAAGGGGGAGCAGCCGCUCCCAAGGCCUCAAAACAUGCUUCCCCUCAGCGUGGUGACCUGUGCCCUGGAGGCGACCUUAACCAGGUGACCAUGUCCUUCUGCCGGGUCUGGGAUAACUGGGCACCAACAUUAACGGCUCAGAGAAAGAUUGGAACUCUUGGCACCCUUGUUUGGAAUGUCUUCCAAGUAGCUAAGGGUGAAUUUUCUUCAAUGAAAUAUAUUAAUUUAUAAGAAGGAAAGAUCAAAAAGCAUACAUUGUUUACAGAACCUUGAAGCAUUUGUGUUUCAACCAGCUCAGCAUUAGAAAGGAAUUUAUCUAAAAUGGGAAAUCACAUUUGGAAACAUUUAAACAACCGCUUCUGGGUCUGGAGAGGCGAUCUGUCGCAGCACGCGUCUGCGGGAACCCUGGUUCUGGAAAGGUUCACCAUGGAUCUGGUCCUGUUAGCGUUUCUGUGGGACACAGGGCUGGGAUCAGAGCAACAAUCACCUUUACAACUCAAGAGUCCCUGUGGGAAGAUGAGCUGCUUGACUCAAGAGGCUGUAACCAGAGCUCCUUGCCCUCCAGCAUGGCCUCACCCGGCUGCCUGCACAGAGUCCACCUGGUCUUCCACCCACUGGCAUUGGUACCAAAUGCCUGUCUCCGUGCUGUUCCUCCUCUCACUGAUGCCUCAUGGGGCAGGGACAGAGCAUCCCAGACUGCCCCCUAGUCAGGUAGGUGGUGUGUCACACAGGGUGUGGGCAACAACAGCAGAGGCCACAGAAGGCCUGGUGAUGGAGCCAGAGUGCAACCGAGACCAAUGUUUCAGGGGGCUUUGAACCUGGACCAGAUCUUCCCACACAGAGCAGAGGAUCUCAGCUGCGCACGUGUGAGCACAAAGCAGAGGCACAAAAGGCAGAGGAGCAGGUGAGGUGCCUGUUUUGAGCUCCAGAACAGAAGCCGCCUCCAAAGUGCAGGAGUCUUACAAGAAGGAAGAAACGGGCACGUGCCCCUGACCCCUUUGGGAGCCCUGCAAACCCCCGAGAGUGAUUCGGGUGGAUGGCAGUUUCAGAUCCUCUCUGCUCUUGUUUACUCUUGCUUGGAAGAUAAGAUAAAAUGUACAAGUAUACAAAUAGGUCCAGAGUCAGAAAGGUGCGGGAAUACAUGGGUACCUGCGGAACCCAAUUUUGUGGUGGCCACAGAGAGCUGGGCGUUCCUGGAGUUGGAGGGUCUGAACAGCAGCAAUAGACCUGUUGAGGGCGGGUUGGGUGCUGUUUAGACUCUCAGGUUCGUGUUCGGCUGCGUUCCCAGGUCCGCCCCCAGCAUACUGAUUACUGUGCCUCUGCGCUGCUGGCACCCCGGCACUGGCAGAAUGGCUCCCCACUGCCUGCUUCCAUGGCAUCCUCAGCCCUACCCACCCCUUGGGGGUCUUCUCCAGAGAGAUCAUGUCUCUUGGGACUGGAUUCAAAUAAUCAGAGAAAACCAUUUUCUUUACUGUCUUGUUCCAUUACACAGUCAAUAUAAGAAGGAGACAUGAGAUGGAGAGGCUAUUUUGACCCGAGGGGAAAAGGAACUGCCCAUAGUGACUAAUUCCAUUCCUGGCAGCCAACAGGUGUCCCUGGCAGCCAAUGGGUGCCCCUUUUAAAAAUGUGGUCCCGUCUCCAUGGCAGCAACAGUGUGCAAUAUCUUCCCUGUCUGUAAACACGCCUUGGGUUUAUUUGAAAAAUAACAAAUAUCUCUUUAUUUGGUUUAACCAAAUAUCUCUUUAAUAAGAUGUUAUAGACUGAUUUGGGUAGAGAUGAAAAUGCAUGGCUUUCUCUGUAAAGGGGGUCAUGUGUUGACCCCCAGGGAGGCCGAGCAUCUACCCCGAGCAUCUGCCCUUGCCUUUCUCUCCUGUUCUUCUCUGUGCUCCGUCGACCCACCUGUCCUGUUGACCUUGGGCCUCCUUUGAUUGUUAACAAGUGGAGACUCCAGUUAAACAUCAUGUGGGCAAAGACGCCUUUGCAGGAUCUUUCUAUAGGCACUAACUAUGACUUGGGAGGAUUCAUGAUUCAUUGACUUGAACCCAGUGCACAAAUUGUUCUUUUCUGGAUGUAUAACUGGAACAUUGUCCUCAAACUCCAAGAGGAAAAUGCUUCUGAUAUAAAGAUGGAAAUGAGAAAUGGGCUUCUAACCAGAACAUCAUGAGAGCUCGUGCUGCACGUGGAUCUGGACACAAUGGGAGCCUUUCACUCUGCAGGGCAGUCGAAAUGUCAAAUAAUUCUUGAAGCAUAAUGUGUGGCUUGUUAAUCCCUGCCAACGUCUUAUUGCUCUUUGUGUGCUGAAGAAGUUGUGAUUGGAGCAGAGUGACAGUGAGAAGGGACAUUUGUCAAGACCCCCCCCCACAUUUGCCCCACAGCACCCAGAGCCUGCCGGGCACGGACGCCCCCGCCCAGCAUCCUCCAGCAGUGAGAGAUGCUCCACCAAGUUCACAAUCAGAGACGGUGAAGUGCUUUGAACGAGUUACUGAUGAAUCACUAUAGUGAUGUCCUCUUGAUUAAUAUUUAAAAUACUCAUCCAGAUCAAUAAGAAGGCAGCCCACUGAGUCUACUCCAACAGAAGAAUGCUCAGAGAUCUCAGCAAAUAGUCACAGGAGAAAAAUGGAAAAGGACAGUGAACAAAUGGAAAAAGCCCAGCCCCACAGGUUGCUAAAGAAACGUGAAACAAAAACAUGGUAAUGCGCACCUUUGCGGGCUGUGCAAGAUGGCAAGAAUUUUUCUCCCCUAAAUGGUCAUGCUUUGCGUUUCUGAAGAUGUUGGAGGCAGCACAGGGCUGUGCUACUGCUGGGCACAUUAUGUGGGCUGUGCUUUCUGCUGAGAGAUUCACACUCAUCUGUACAGAGCCUGUCUCCGCGUAGUCUCAUCCACCUCACUCUCACCCUUGGCCGACACAUGAGCAAGGGUGAGAAGCACAUUUACCAAUCACUGUGCUUUCCAGGAGGUGAAAGCUGAGAAAUAACCCAGAGGCCAGGCCAGGACUCCCAAAGGUUGCAGGCACCUUAGUCUCUCCCCGCUUCUGCCCACAGGAGUGAGACUCAGUUGUGUUUAUAGUUAUUUUUUUCCUUACUGGAUUUGUGUGCACCAAACUGAAUGAAUCAUUAUCCUGGAUUCAUGUGUGGUGCUUUUAUAAGCUUGUGCCUUUGUAAAAAUAUCGUGAGCACUUAUAAGCCGACCACUGAACAUGAAUGAAUGCUUGAACUUGGCAGUGACUGUAUCUGUGUGAGUCCCUCCCUGCCGACCAAGGUCCUGCCGCCUCCUGGCUGGCCUGACCCUGUUUCUUCUUCCUGUGCUCCUCUUUACAUCACAUCACAUCACAUUAUCCUAUAUAUGUACAAAUAUGUGUUCCAGGAAGAUCUCUAACUUGGCGGAAAGAGCAUCGUGCUCAUGACAUCUUUGACGCUUGUUUUACUCCCUGAAUAUUUGCCACGGGAACCCAUCUGUAUUCUUGUAUGUGGCUAUAAUGUCUUCGUCUUCACUGCUUCUAUUUUCUUUUUUGAAAUUUUAUUUCUGUUAUUUUUUUUUAUGGCUGCAUCCAUGGCAUAUGGAAGUUCCCAGGCCAGGAACUGAAUCUGAGCUGCAGCUGCCAAGAACUUUGCCAUGGCUGUGGCACAUCAGAUCCUUUAACCUACUGUGCAAGAAUGGGGAUCAAACCUGCACCUCUGCGGGAACCCAAGCCGCUUCAGUUGGAUUCUUAACCCACUGCUCCAUAGCAGGAAAUCCUCUAUUUUAUUAUAUCAUGAUUUAUUAAUCCACAUUCCUAUGAAUGAGAAUGUGAAAUGUUCCCAAGUUUUUGCUCCUGAGAGCAAACACAACAAUCCUAUCUACAUCUGCUGAUGUACUUGCAGUUUCUCUCUAUGGCAUUUGUUUCCUGGGACUUUGUUUGUGAUCAAAACAAACUGGACAGUACAGAACACCAGCCGGUCAAUCCCUCCCAGUCGGAGGUGGGAGGUUGGAAUCCAGGUGUUGGUGGGCAGGGCUGUGUUCUGCGGGAAGGAGCCUUCUGUGUCU
RNAcentral lists this long non-coding RNA (4647 nucleotides) under Sus scrofa (pig). RNAcentral describes it as "lncRNA (ENSSSCG00060006054.1)". The record is from RNAcentral. Lineage: Eukaryota; Metazoa; Chordata; Mammalia; Artiodactyla; Suidae.